This 479-nucleotide ribosomal RNA is filed under the name Rhodococcus sp. A14. RNAcentral's name for it is "bacterial SSU rRNA". It matches the Rfam family "Bacterial small subunit ribosomal RNA", at positions 141 to 635 of the family's 1533-position model. Lineage: Bacteria; Bacillati; Actinomycetota; Actinomycetes; Mycobacteriales; Nocardiaceae. The record is from RNAcentral.
GGAUAAGCCUGGGAAACUGGGUCUAAUACCGGAUAUGACCUCCUAUCGCAUGGUGGGUGGUGGAAAGAUUUAUCGGUGCAGGAUGGGCCCGCGGCCUAUCAGCUUGUUGGUGGGGUAAUGGCCUACCAAGGCGACGACGGGUACCGACCUGAGAGGGUGACCGGCCACACUGGGACUGAGACACGGCCCAGACUCCUACGGGAGGCAGCAGUGGGGAAUAUUGCACAAUGGGCGAAAGCCUGAUGCAGCGACGCCGCGUGAGGGAUGACGGCCUUCGGGUUGUAAACCUCUUUCAGCAGGGACGAAGCGCAAGUGACGGUACCUGCAGAAGAAGCACCGGCUAACUACGUGCCAGCAGCCGCGGUAAUACGUAGGGUGCAAGCGUUGUCCGGAAUUACUGGGCGUAAAGAGUUCGUAGGCGGUUUGUCGCGUCGUUUGUGAAAACCAGCAGCUCAACUGCUGGUUUGCAGGCGAUACGG